This 2209-nucleotide ribosomal RNA is filed under the name Triticum aestivum (bread wheat). Its description in RNAcentral is "partial small subunit ribosomal RNA". The stretch from base 1794 to 1918 matches the Rfam family "MIR1120/MIR1122 microRNA precursor family". Lineage: Eukaryota; Viridiplantae; Streptophyta; Magnoliopsida; Poales; Poaceae. The record is from RNAcentral.
CUCCAACCCUACCCCGUGCUCUACCUCACGAAAGCUGCCCAGGUACGCCCCGCAACCAUAAACGCGACGCCCAGAGAAGAUGUGAGUGCGUUAAUGCCUAGGCUCGUACGCUACGAGCAUCUACAUAUCUACUGAUACACCCCGGACCUUUCUCGGCCGUCUCACUUCAUCCCAUCCACCUGCAGCCGGCGUAAGCUUCCAUGGAGCCGCCACUUUCUCCGCUGGGCGCCGGCGCUGUCUGCUGCAUGUGCGGCGAUCGCGGCCUGCCGCACGAGCUGCUCCGCUGCAAGCUCUGCCGCGUCCGCCUGCAGCACAGAUACUGCAGCGAUCUGUAUCCGAGGGCCACGGCGUACAGGAGGUGCAACUGGUGCCUGAGGGAGCCCGCAGAAGCCCAUGCCCAACCCCACGCUCAGCCGGUGAAAAACAAGAAGGCGGAGAAACGGAAGAUGGUGGCAUCAACGGAGACGUCCGCCUCCGGCGAGGAGGAGCGGCGGCAGCACGAGGCCGGAUGCACCACUGCUACGAGGUCGAGGAGAUCGGCUGCGGAGGUUGGUAAGCCGGUCAAGAAGCCCAAGGUCGACGAGAGGCCACCGCUGCCCCCGUCGCCAGGCACGGCAGCGAAGGGGAACAGCGGUGACACGAAGCCCAAGGUCGACGAGAGGCCACCGCUGCCCCCGUCGCCGGGCACGGCGGCGAAAGGAAACAGCGGCGACAAGAAGCCUAAGGUCGACGAGUGGCCGGUGCUGCCCCCGUCGCCGGGCGUGGCGGCGAAGGGGAACAGCGGUGACAAGAAGCCCAAGGUCGACAAGAGGCCAGCGCUGCCUCCGUCGCCGGGCACGGCGGCGAAGGGGAACAACGGCGACAAGAAGCCUAAGGUCGACGAGUGGACGGCGCUGCCCCCGUCGCCGGGCACGGCGGCGAAGGGGAGCAGCGGCGACAAGAAGCCGAUGCAGGCGGGGAAGCUGGCGCGGCCGGGUAGGGUCAAGGUGAGGAGGUACAAGCUCCUGGCAGAGGUGAUUAGCUGCUAGCUAGGAUCACGGAAUCAAAAGGGGAAGUAGCUGGCAACUAGCCAAAUAGCUAGCCACCGUCGACAUUGUAUGUAAAUAUCGUUUGCCCGUCGUGUACGGGUUUUUCGUCUCUUUUUGGGGAGAGAGUCGACUACCGUGCUAGUGCUGUACAAAUCUUAAGCCGUCAGUUUUUUAUACCAGUUGACGUGCAUAGAUGGUGCGGUUUGACUUUACGUCGGGGCGGCGAUGAGCUGGUGCGACUGCUUUAGUAUGCAUAUUGCAUACGGUUGCUCCGUGAAGCAUAGACUGGAGGUGGUAGUGAGCGGUGGUAUGUCGGGGCGAUGGCCUGCUUCCAGAGACGAGUCAAUGCAAUAGUCAUGGUCUGCGAACGGUUACCCUUCGCAACCUAGACUAUAGGUGGUUAGGCCGUGCGGCACUGUAACUUGAGAGUGCGUGGUGGUAUGUCGGAGCAGUGGCCCUAGAAAGUGAGGUCGGUAAGCCGGGCAAGAAGCCCAAGGUCGAGGAGAAGUCAGCGCUGCCCCUGUCGCUGGGGAUGGCAGUGAAGGGGAACAACAACGACAAGAAGCCGAUGCAAGCGAUAAAGUUGGCACGACCAGGUAGGGUCAAGGUGAGGAGGUGCAAGCUCCUUGGAGGUGUGAGAAUAAAAGGGGAAGCAGCUAGCCACCAUCGACACAUGUCGAUGAAUGUAUAUAUUGUUUACCCGCCAUAUACAAGUUUUUCCUUCGUUCUUUUUUUUGAGAGAGAGAGAGUCGACUAGGUGCUAGUGAUGUACUUCCUUCGUCCAGGAAUACUUGUCGGAGAAAUGGAUGUAUCUAGGCGUAUUUUAGUUUUAGAUAGAUUCAUUUUUAUUCAUUUCUCCGACAAGUAUUUUCAGACGGAGGAAGUACAAAUCUAGGAGUUUCGUGUAAAUUGAGCCAUUUUGUACUUUUAUACAUCAUGGGUUCGUGUGCCAGUAUUUCCCCACACACACAGAGCGCGCGCGCGAGAGAGAGAGAGAGAGAGAGAGAGAGAGAGAGAGAGAGAGAGAGAGAGAGAGAGAGAGAGAGAGAGAGAGAUUUGACUUUUAGGGGUGGCAGCCGAUCACCGUAGUCUACGGACGGUUGCCCCAUGAAGCAUAGGUUGUAGGUGGUAGCGGCUGGUGGUAUGUCAAUGGUGAACCUGGAAGGUGGUGUUGGUCGACC